Molecule: long non-coding RNA, 4125 nt
Organism: Salvelinus fontinalis (brook trout)
Lineage: Eukaryota; Metazoa; Chordata; Actinopteri; Salmoniformes; Salmonidae
Exons: 2
Source: RefSeq, a predicted model, not a curated record
UCUCUGGAUCGGUGAAAAAGGAAGAGAUAUUUACAACACAUGGACACUUACCGAGGCUGAAUCAAAAGGUACUAAAAACAUACUACGAUCGUUUUGAAGCAUAUGUUGUACAGAAGACCAAUACGAUUUUCGCUAGGUACAAAUUCCAUGAGAAAGUACAGGGAGCAAGUGAAUCGUUUGAACAGUUUGUGACAGAACUGCGUCUGCUUGUGAAAGACUGAUUAUGUAAACAAGGAUGAGAUGGUCAGGGACCGUAAUGUAUUUGGAAUACACUCACCGCGAGUGAGAAACUUUUGAAUGUUGGGUCUGAGGUAACGCUGGACAAAGCUAUCGACAUAGCCAGAUCUCACGAGCUAGCACAGGCUCAGAUGAAAACCAUUUCGCAGUCAGACAGACGUCAAAGCACACCUCCGGUGCACAGAGAGGAGAGAGACAUAACUCCAAAACAUGUGGAUACAAAGUGCAUGGCGAACAAGGAAAUUGCCCAGCGAAAGGCAAACAGUGUACUAAAUGUGGAAAAUGGAAUCACUGUGCAAAAGUGUGCAGAGCUUACCGUGGAAAAACAGUACACACAGUGAGUGAAGAUGAAAUGUCAGAGUCAAACGCUGAUAAACUGUUUAUUGAUUCAGUGACACAAAGUCAAAUAUCAGAGACAGAGCAAGCUUUUGCUGACAUUGAGAUAGGAACACAAGGCACAGAGCUAACGUUCAAACUAGACACUGGUGCACAAGUAAACAUUAUUCCUCUGAAUUGUCAACGUCGUGUGUAUAGGUGGCAGGGAAGUCAGACGCAGGAGAGUAAAUGAAGUGUAGAUGGAGACUUUUAAUAAAUCACCAUGACAUGCUCCAAACACGAGAAAUAUAUAUACAUUAAAUAAAAAAUGGGUACGAGGACCCGUCGCGCACCUAUACACCAAUCAAACAACACUUGACAUAAAACAAUCUCUGACAAACACAUGAAGGGAAACAGAGGGUUAAAUACACAACAGGUAAUGAAUGGGAUUGACAACAGGUGUGUGGGAAGACAAGACAAAACCAAUGGAAAAUGAAAAAUGGAUCGAUGAUGGCUAGAAGGCCGGUGAAGUCGACCGCCGAACACCGCCCGGACAAGGAGAGGCAACGACUUCGGCAGAAGUCGUGACAUGAAUAAGUACCACAGCUUGACAUCUGAGUGCGAGCUACAGCCCACCACGCGCAGACUGACUGGUUAUGGUGGUGAACAGCUCCCAGUAAAAGGUGCAUGCACUUUCAAAUGCAAAUACAAGGAAUAGGAUUAUUCCCAGGAGAAUGUACCAUUCACCUUGACCCAGACGCAACCCCUGUGGUCUACCCACCGAGAAAGAUUCCCCUUGCUCUCCGUGCCCGUCAGAGAGUUGGCGAGCAUGGAGCAAUCUGACAUAGUCACCAAGGUUACAGAACCGACUGACUGGGUAAACGCCUUAGUGGUGGUGGAGAAACCACGCACAGGCAAGCUCAGAGUAUGUCUCGACCCAAGAGACUUGAACAAGGCUAUCAAACACCCCCAUUAUCCUUUACCGACGCUAGAUGGCAUCACACACAAGCUAGCGGGAGCACACUACUUCAGUGUCAUGGACGCUAGAUCAGGCUACUGGGCUAUCAAGCUCACAGAAGAGUCAUCUAAGCUCACAACAUUCAACACACCGUUUGGACGCUACAGGUUCCGUUGCCUGCCUUUUGGGAUCCACAGAAGAUCUCAGCCAUAAAAGAAAUGGAGCCACCAAAGAACCGUGCAGAGCUGGAAACAGUGCUUGGCAUGGUCAACUACUUAGCCAAGUUCUCACCCAGCCUCUCCAAUGCUAAUGCACCCCUGCGUCAACUGCUAAAGCAGUCCAGUGAGUUUCUCUGGGACAAGCAACAUGACAUUGCUUUCCAGAAUGUGAAAGACUUGACCACGAGAGAACCAAGACCAAUCCGUGCCUACUACGACCCCAUCAAAGAGCUCAGACUCCAAGUGGACGCGUCAAAGUAUGGACUAGGUGCAGUGCUACUGCAAGAAGGAAAGCCCAUCGGCUACACUUCCAAAUCUCUCAGACUGUGAAAUCAACAACGCUCAAAUUGAAAAGGAGCUCUACGCCAUUCUGUUCGGGUGUAAACGUUUCCAUCAGUACACAUAUGGACGACAAGUCAUUGUGGAAUCCGACCACAAGCCCCUUGAGUCAAUUAUGAGGAAACCACUAGCCGCAGCCCCGCCAAGGCUACAGAGAAUGAUCCUUCAACUACAAAAAUACAACUUCACAAUCCCUCACCGUCCAGGCAAAGACAUCCCUGUCGCAGACACACUCCCCAGGAAGUUUCUACCUAUAAGGACAGCAGCCUCAGUGAAGGCAUGGACAUGCAAGUGCACACUGUGUACAGCAACUUACCAGUUAGUGACACAAAACUGAAGGAGAUCCAAGCAGAAACAGAAAAGGACGCACAGCUGAGGAAAGUCAUACAGGAUGAUGGCCUGAGAGGAGAAAAUGUCCUCAGAGCGUCUCAGAUUUCUGGAACCAUCGUGAUGAACUAUCACAGAUCAACGGAAUAAUUUUCAAAGGAGAGAAAAUCAUUAUUCCUACCAGUCUGAGGAGAUUUUGACAAAAAUCCAUGCUGGACACAUGGGCAUGGAAAAGUGCAAACAGAGACCACGGGACAUUUUGUUUUGGCCCGGAAUGUGCAAACAAAUAGAGGACAUUGUUGGUAAAUGCUCCACCUGUCUUGAACAACGCCCCUCAAACACCAAAGAGCCAAUGUUACCUCACUGUAUCGCAGACCGACCCUGGCAAGUCGUGGCAACCGAUCUGUUCAACUAGAACAACGAGGACUACAUCGUAACAGUGGACUACUACAGCAGAUACUUCGAACUCGACAGCACCACAUCUGCAGCUGUGAUACACAAGCUGAAAGCAGCCUUUGCCAGGCAUGGCAUUGUAGAGACUUUAAUAUCUGACAAUGGGCCCUGUUACAAAUCAAAUGAGUUUGAAUCCUUCACAAAAGCAUGGGAGUUUACACAUGUCAACACAAGCCCGCAUUACCCUCAAAGUAAUGGCCUUGCUGAAAAAUCUGUGCAGAUUUCUAAAUCACUCAUGGAUAAAGCAGACAAGAGACCCCUACCUUAGUCUCCUUGAAUAACGCAACACUCCAGUUGACAACUUCAAAUCACCAGCCCAGCUGUUGAUGAGCCGCAGACUUCGCUCAAUCCUUCCCAGCACCAACCAGCAGCUACAACCUGAGGUCGUCAGCUACAAGGAAAUGCAUGGAAAACGUGCACAGAGACAACAACAAAAGCGAUACUACGACAGGUCAGCUAGACCACUGCCACCACUGAUCGACAGAGAGUCAGUUUGAAUCCAGGAGCAUGGCCUUUGGAAGCCAGCAGUCGUCAUCCAGCCAGCUAACACUGAACGUUCAUAGCACGUCCGCACCGCAGAAAGAGCAGUGUACCGCCGCAGUCGCCGUCACCUACUGAACACAAAAGAACAACACAGAUUAGAUGAACUGUUCCCCUGAAAGAGAACAUGGACUAAACACACACACACAGUACAACAUACUUACCUGCAACACCACAAAAACUGUUGACUGACACAGAAGCAUGCUCAGCAUCAUAUCGCACAAGGUCAGGAAGAGAGGUCAAGCCCAGAGCUGUCCUAGACCUGUGAAAUGUCAAAGAGGUGUAGGCGGAUCGCUGCCCUAAAAGAGUUCGACUGUAAACUUGUUAUUGAAAGUUAACUUGAAAUGCUUUGGUAUUGUAUUUGUUUGAAAUGUUACGAUGUUAUUUCUACAGUGAAAGCUGAGUUGCUGAGAAUCCCUUGUUUGAAAAGUAACAGUAUGUUGGAUUAUUGUUUCAGAGUCUGUUGAUUCAGUUGGUAUAGUAUGCAAUAUAAAUGGUUACUUACCUUGAGUUCAAACUGCAGAGCAUGUUUUCAAAAGAAACGCUUAGAAUAUGUAAACAUUUUUAUUUAAAAGGUGGAUGUAAUAUUCAUAUGUGUAAACAUACUGAAUUAUAAUUGGAUGUAUUUUACCGCCAUAUACUGUGCUAGGAUUGGUUAGGUGAUGGUCAGUUUGAUCCUGGUUGGCGAUACGUGAACAUGCCAGAUAUAGCUAGCUAAUAAAGAGCUAUGUUAAGAAA